UAUGCAAUCAAAUGGUGUUGU
Molecule: non-coding RNA, 21 nt
Filed under: Arabidopsis thaliana (thale cress)
Lineage: Eukaryota; Viridiplantae; Streptophyta; Magnoliopsida; Brassicales; Brassicaceae
Source: RNAcentral